CCUCCUACGGGAGGCAGCAGUGAGGAAUAUUGGUCAAUGGACGGAAGUCUGAACCAGCCAUGCCGCGUGCAGGAUGACGGCUCUAUGAGUUGUAAACUGCUUUUGUAUUAGGGUAAACACCCCUACGUGUAGGGGCUUGAAAGUAUAAUACGAAUAAGGAUCGGCUAACUCCGUGCCAGCAGCCGCGGUAAUACGGAGGAUCCAAGCGUUAUCCGGAUUUAUUGGGUUUAAAGGGUGCGUAGGCGGGAUGCCAAGUCAGCGGUAAAAUCGCGGGGCUCAACCUCGCUCCGCCGUUGAAACUGGCG
RNAcentral lists this ribosomal RNA (305 nucleotides) under uncultured bacterium. RNAcentral describes it as "bacterial SSU rRNA". It matches the Rfam family "Bacterial small subunit ribosomal RNA", at positions 335 to 638 of the family's 1533-position model. The record is from RNAcentral.